CAGCUGUGGGGCCACAGAAGGCGGGAUCGGAGAUGACCUCCACCAUGGCCUGGUCCCCUCUCCUCCUCGGCCUCCUCGCUCACUGCACAGGGUCCUGGGCCCAGUCUGUGCUGACACAGCCGUCCUCCGUGUCUGGGGCCCUGGGUCAGACGGUCACCAUCUCCUGCACCGGAAGCAGCUCCAACAUCGGGGGUGCUUAUUAUGGUGUGAGCUGGUACCAACAGCUCCCAGGAAAAGCCCCCACAACCAUCAUCUAUAGUAAUAACAAACGACCCUCAGGGGUCCCGGAUCGAUUCUCUGGCUCCAAGUCUGGCAGCUCAGCCACCCUGACCAUCACUGGGCUCCAGGCGGAGGACGAGGCUGAGUAUUACUGUGCAUCGGGGGACAGCAGUCUCAAAGGUCACACAGUGCUCCCGGCCUGUGGGGAAGUGAGACAAAAACCUGCUGUCCCUCAGCAACGGGUCUCCCUGUGCUGCUCCCCCUCCUUGGCCAAGGAUCCAUAUAUGCCACGGUUCCUGCACCUGCUAAGACAUGACCCUCUUGAGUCACCUGGAGCACUGGGAGGUGUCAGACGGGCUGGACGACUUGGUGUCUCGGCCCAGCAGGUGGCGCUGUGGGACUGGGCCUGUGAGGACGGGCUUCUGGUCCAGACCAACUAG
This is a non-coding RNA of Odobenus rosmarus divergens (Pacific walrus), 659 nucleotides long. Lineage: Eukaryota; Metazoa; Chordata; Mammalia; Carnivora; Odobenidae. The record is from the annotation of a RefSeq genome assembly.